AUUGAACGCUGGCGGCAUGCUUUACACAUGCAAGUCGAACGGUAACAGGCCUUCGGGUGCUGGCGAGUGGCGAACGGGUGCGUAAUGCAUCGGAACGUACCCAGAGGUGGGGGUUAACGCAGCGAAAGCUGUGCUAAUACCGCAUGUGAUCUGAGGAUGAAAGCGGGGGACCGAGCAGCAAUGUUUGGCCUUGCGCCUUUGGAGCGGCCGAUGUCGGAUUAGCUAGUUGGUGGGGUAAAGGCCUACCAAGGCGACGAUCCGUAGCUGGUCUGAGAGGACGACCAGCCACACUGGAACUGAGACACGGCCCAGACUACUACGGGAGGCAGCAGUGGGGAAUUUUGGACAAUGGGCGCAAGCCUGAUCCAGCAAUGCCGCGUGCGGGAAAAAGGCCUUCGGGUUGUAAACCGCUUUUGGCAGGAACGAAACGGUGUCCGCUAAUACCGGGCGCUAAUGACGGUACCUGCAGAAUAAGCACCGGCUAACUACGUG
RNAcentral lists this ribosomal RNA (492 nucleotides) under uncultured bacterium. RNAcentral's name for it is "partial 16S ribosomal RNA". It matches the Rfam family "Bacterial small subunit ribosomal RNA", at positions 30 to 507 of the family's 1533-position model. The record is from RNAcentral.